Molecule: ribosomal RNA, 403 nt
Filed under: uncultured bacterium
Lineage: Bacteria
Description: partial 16S ribosomal RNA
Rfam family: Bacterial small subunit ribosomal RNA
Source: RNAcentral
AUUGAACGCUGGCGGCAGGCCGAACACAUGCAAGUCGAGCGGUCUGCGGACGGGUGAGUAAUGUAUGGGGACUGCCCGAUAGAGGGUGAUAACUACUGGAAACGGUGGCUAAUACCGCAUACUAUCGGAUAACCCAUAUGGGAUUAGCUAGUAGGUGGGGUAAAGGCUCACCUAGGCGACGAUCUCUAGCUGGUCUGAGAGGAUGAUCAGCCACACGUGGACUGAGACACGGCCCAGACUCCUACGGAGGCAGCAGUGGGGAAUAUUGCACAAUGGGCGCAAGCCUGAUGCAGCCAUGCCGCGUGUAUGAAGAAGGCCUUAUGGUUGUAAAGUACUUUCAGCGGGGAGGCGUUACCCGCAGAAGAAGCACCGGCUAACUCCGUGCAAGCCGCCGCGGUAAUAC